GCUGGGUGUGGUGGCGCAUGCCUGUAAUCCCAGCUACUUGGGAGGCUGAGGCAGGAGAAUCACUCGAAUCCGGGAGGCAGAGGUUGCAGUGAGCCAAGAUUGCACCACUGCACUCCAGCCUGGGCAACAGAGUGAGACUCCGCCUCAA
This 148-nucleotide non-coding RNA is filed under the name Gorilla gorilla gorilla (western lowland gorilla). Lineage: Eukaryota; Metazoa; Chordata; Mammalia; Primates; Hominidae. The record is from Rfam by way of RNAcentral.